This 759-nucleotide long non-coding RNA is filed under the name Sorghum bicolor (sorghum). RNAcentral's name for it is "long non-coding RNA (SBIC_LNC008597)". Lineage: Eukaryota; Viridiplantae; Streptophyta; Magnoliopsida; Poales; Poaceae. The record is from RNAcentral.
AACUAGUUGGACUUUGGUUGUGUAAAUAUAUAAUAUGCUGGCCUUGUGGCUGUUAUGGUCUGUUAAAUGUUAGUUAUUUGCUAUUGCAUUAAAGGUGUGUGAAGAUUAAGGCUGCAUUAGUGUUGCUACUUGCUAAUUAUGGUUUCUUUGGUAUUCCAGGCUACCAGCAGCAAGUCAGCAAAGAAAUAGAGUUUGGGACAGGAAUAUGGAGGUAAGGAUAGUGCAGAAAAGAGAAGAAAAGAACUCCAACAAGUAAGUCACCAUUUUAACACUAAUGCAGCCUUGAUGCUUCCUUUAUUGUGUAUAAUAUAGUGUAUAUAUAAAGGUAUAUAUAUAUAUAGGUCAACCAGCUGAUAUGCCUAGACGACCAGGGACGACUAGGGGAUGACCAAGGUCGAUUAAUCUAUAUGGUCGCUGAUUAAUCGCGAUUAAUUGACUGGUUGGUCCUAGGUUGACCAAGAUCGACCAGCCAACCAGAAAACAUUGAAUGUGAGUUAUGUUUACUUAUAUGAGUACCAACCAUAAAUCUAGACUCACAUAUGGUACACAAAGGGCGUGAGCGCAUUUUGCAAAGUUAAAAAAAUAGGAAACUCAUAUUAUACUUUAUUUUUUUAUUUAUUAUAAGAAAAAGUGGGAGAAAAAGAGAAAAAAAGUCACCUAAUGGUGAGAAGAGGAAACGGAAAAAAGAAACAGGAAAGAGACAGAAACAACGGAUGCUUCACCGAAAAACACAGACAUAAUUUUUCGUAUUUGAUGGCC